CUGGUUUAAAGGAAGAACGUUUGUAGGAUCUGGAAGAAUCUACAGCAUCUCAAAGAUCAGCUCUGAUCACAGUGGAGAAUACAAGUGUAGAUCCAUCAAUGAACAUGGAGAGAAAUACUCUGAUGCUGUGACUCUAAACGUCAUGUCAGUCAGAUGUUUCUCGUCAGUAGCUCUAGCUGUUUCUGUUUCUGCUGCUGUUUUACUCGGUGGAGCAUCAGGUGCUUUCAUGAUGUACCUUUGUCUUACUAAAAGGAUGAACAGAAGAUCAGCUAUGAAGGAGUCUGCGAUCUCUGAUCCCAGUGAAGACACAUAUACAGCUCUUGAGCUCAAGUCCACGACCUCUGACCUCUACGACACACUCACA
Carassius auratus (goldfish) is the source of this 364-nucleotide long non-coding RNA. RefSeq lists it as uncharacterized. The record is from RefSeq and is a predicted model, not a curated record. The transcript is spliced from 4 exons. NCBI's taxonomy places the organism in Eukaryota, Metazoa, Chordata, Actinopteri, Cypriniformes, Cyprinidae.